AUGAUGAUCGACACCGGCAGCGACGUGUCGUGGGUGCGCUGCAACUCCACGGACGGGGUGACGCUCUUCGACCCCAGCAAGUCGACCACGUACGCCCCGUUCUCCUGCAGCUCCGCGGCGUGCGCGCAGCUCGGCACCCAAGGCAACAACUGCUCAAGCUCAGGGUGCCAGUACAGCGUCCAGUACUUCGAUGGCUCGAACACCACCGGGACGUACGGCUCCGACACGCUGGCGCUGAGCGACGCCGACACCGUCACAGACUUCCACUUCGGUUGCAGCUACCACGAGGAGGAGAUGGACGAGGAAAAAUUCGACGGGCUCAUGGGGCUCGGCGGCGACGUGCCGUCGCUCGUGUCGCAGACGGCGGCGACGUACGGCAAGUCCUUCUCGUACUGCCUCCCGCCGACAAAUAGCACGUCCGGGUUUCUCACGUUCGGCGCGCCGAACGGGACGUCUGGCUUCGUGACGACGCCGAUGCUCAGAUACACACAGGCGCCGACAUUCUACGGCGUGCUCCUCAAGGACAUAUCCGUGGGGGGAACGCCGCUCAGAAUACAAUCAUCCGUUUUCUCCGGCGGUUCGGUGAUGACUCGGGCACUGUCAUCACGUGGCUACCAAGGAGGGCGUACUCGGCGCUCUCGUCGGCGUUCAGGUCCGGCAUGA
This 663-nucleotide ribosomal RNA is filed under the name Triticum aestivum (bread wheat). RNAcentral's name for it is "partial small subunit ribosomal RNA". Lineage: Eukaryota; Viridiplantae; Streptophyta; Magnoliopsida; Poales; Poaceae. The record is from RNAcentral.